Molecule: ribosomal RNA, 404 nt
Filed under: uncultured bacterium
Lineage: Bacteria
Description: bacterial SSU rRNA
Rfam family: Bacterial small subunit ribosomal RNA
Source: RNAcentral
AUCCCUUGACAUCCUGCGAACUUUCUAGAGAUAGAUUGGUGCCUUCGGGAACGCAGUGACAGGUGCUGCAUGGCUGUCGUCAGCUCGUGUCGUGAGAUGUUGGGUUAAGUCCCGCAACGAGCGCAACCCUUAUCUUUAGUUGCUACCAUUUAGUUGAGAACUCUAAAGAGACUGCCGGUGAUAAACCGGAGGAAGGCGGGGACGACGUCAAGUCAUCAUGGCCCUUAUGGGAUGGGCUACACACGUGCUACAAUGGCCGGUACAGAGAGUCGCGAAGUCGCGAGGGGGAGCUAAUCUCACAAAGCCGGUCGUAGUCCGGAUUGGAGUCUGCAACUCGACUCCAUGAAGUCGGAAUCGCUAGUAAUCGUGAAUCAGAAUGUCACGGUGAAUACGUUCCCGGGCCU